Molecule: non-coding RNA, 503 nt
Organism: Tachysurus fulvidraco (yellow catfish)
Lineage: Eukaryota; Metazoa; Chordata; Actinopteri; Siluriformes; Bagridae
Source: the annotation of a RefSeq genome assembly
AUGGACGCUCCCUAUUCAAAUAGAGUGGUGUAUAAACAGCAUGUUCUUGGCUGCUCUAGUGUCCACAGAACUCAGGGAAGGAUUAUUUUAGGACAGUGUAUUUUAUUGCUACUCAUUUCAUAUUCUUAUGGACAGUCCCUGACCUCCUCUGAUUCUGUGGUGAAGAGACCUGGACAGUCGGUCACUCUGUCUUGUACUGUCUCCGGUUUCUCAAUGGGCAGCUACAACAUGCACUGGAUCCGUGAGAAACCAGGACAAGGACUGGAGUGGAUCGGGCGCAUUGACACUGGCACUGGCACUGCAUUCGCUCAGUCUCUACAGGGCCAGUUCUCCAUCAAUAAAGACACCAAUAAAAACUUGCUGUACCUAGAAGUGAAGAGUCUGAAAGCUGAAGACACGGCAGUUUAUUACUGUGCACGAGAGUCACACUGACACAACAGGCUCCAGAGCUGUACAAAAACUUACACAAGCACGUCCUCAUAAGCUGUAAAUUUUCCCUCAAC